GGUAAAAUGGCUGAGCUAUAGGUAGUAAACUGUAAAUUUACUUAGGAAAUUUUAAUUUCUUUUACCA
RNAcentral lists this transfer RNA (67 nucleotides) under Craspedophorus nobilis. RNAcentral's name for it is "tRNA-Tyr". Lineage: Eukaryota; Metazoa; Arthropoda; Insecta; Coleoptera; Carabidae. The record is from RNAcentral.